Molecule: RNA transcript, 3547 nt
Organism: Empidonax traillii (willow flycatcher)
Lineage: Eukaryota; Metazoa; Chordata; Aves; Passeriformes; Tyrannidae
Gene: NOTUM
Gene name: notum, palmitoleoyl-protein carboxylesterase
Exons: 12
Source: RefSeq, a predicted model, not a curated record
AUGGGCACGGCGGCCGUGCACCUCCUGCUGCUGCUGGGACUGCUGCACGCCGGGCCCGGCGGCGAGGGCAGGAAGGGCUGGCGGCGGCGAGGCCCGGCGGCCCGCGAGCGCGGCGAGGCGGCGGCGGCGGCGGCCGCCGAGAGCUUCCCGUUGGACUUCACCGCCGUGGAGGGCAACAUGGACAGCUUCAUGGCGCAGGUCAAGAGCCUGGCGCAAUCGCUGUACCCCUGCUCGGCCCAGGCACUGCCGCACGACCUGCGCCUGCAUCUCCUGCACAACUCCUCGGUCACCUGCAACGACGGCAGCCCGGCUGGGUACUAUCUGAAGGAAUCCAAGGGCAGCCGGCGGUGGCUGCUGUUCCUGGAAGGAGGAUGGUACUGCUUCAACAGGGAGAACUGCGACACCCGCUACGACACCAUGCGACGGCUGAUGAGCUCCCGGGAGUGGCCCGCGACCCGCGUGGGAACUGGGAUCCUGUCCUCGCAGCCAGAAGAAAAUCCCCACUGGUGGAAUGCAAACAUGGUAUUCAUCCCGUAUUGCUCAAGUGAUGUUUGGAGCGGUGCCUCCUCCAAGUCUGAGAAAAAUGAAUAUGCCUUCAUGGGAGCGCUGAUCAUUCAGGAGGUUAUAAAGGAGCUGGUAGGAAAAGGUCUGAGCACUGCAAAAGUGUUGCUGCUAGCGGGGAGCAGUGCUGGAGGGACAGGAGUGCUCCUGAACGUGGACCGAGUGUCAGAGCAGCUGGAGGAGAUGGGUUAUCAAGGGAUUCAGGUUCGAGGUUUGGCAGACUCUGGAUGGUUCUUGGAUAACAAACAGUAUCGCAGAACUGACUGUAUCGAUACCAUAACGUGUGCUCCAACAGAGGCCAUCAGAAGAGGAAUAAGAUACUGGAAUGGCAUUGUUCCCGAACGCUGUAAGCUGCAGUUUAAAGAGGGAGAGGAAUGGAAUUGUUUUUUUGGAUAUAAGAUUUACCCCACUCUUCGAUGUCCAGUCUUUGUUGUCCAGUGGCUAUUUGAUGAGGCCCAGCUUACUGUAGACAAUGUACACCUCACUGGCCAGCCUGUUCAGGAAGGGCAGUGGCUCUACAUCCAGAAUCUGGGUAGGGAGCUGAGAAACACCUUGAAGGAUGUGACUGCAAGCUUUGCUCCUGCCUGUUUGUCCCAUGAGAUCAUCACACGCAAUCACUGGACUGACAUCCAGGUGAAGGGAACGUCGUUACCCCGUGCCUUGCACUGCUGGGAUCGGAGCCUGCAUGAGAGCAACAAAAACGGGAAGGCCCCUCUGAAAGGCUGCCCAAUUCACCUGAUUGACAGCUGUCCAUGGCCUCACUGCAACCCCUCAUGCCCCACAAUCAGGGACCAGUUCACAGGGCAGGAGAUGAAUGUGAUCCAGUUCCUCAUGCAUAUGGGGUUCGAUGUUCAGAAGAUGGCACAGCAGCAGGGCCUGGAGCCCAGUAAACUCCUGGGGAUGCUCAGCAGUGAUAACUAGGAAGGGCUUGUCAUAGGGGCAGAGAUUAGAUCAGGAGGAGAGAGACUCUCAGCCCUUCUCCCACACUUUCUGAUCUUCUUCCUUGCACUCCUGCAGGCAGAUGCACGCUCACAUCCAUGCACGCUCACACCUGUGCACACCCAUGUGCUCCCACGCUCUUGCACACUUUAGGGUGUGUCAAGAACAAAACAAACAAAAAAGCAGUUUCUUGCUUACACUGUUUGGCUGGAACUCAUUCCCUCCAAACUCCAGGGCUGAGUUUCAGCCAGUCACAUCCUCUUCCUGUGUUACACAAGGCAAUCGGAUACAGGGAGUAGCAAAGCCAUAAAUAGCAGCGAUGAGAACCUUUCCCAGAUCUGAGACGUCUUCCCUUGCCAUGAAUUUUACAUCAUAGACUUUAUACAAGUGGUGUAAAAAGCAAGCACUGGAUUUCUUCUGUCCAACUAGAAGCGAAGGAGUGAUUACAUGGUUUCCUGGAGUGUUCCUUGUCAUUGUUUCUCUGAUGAAGAGGUUGUAACAUGAGGUUUAAAUACAGAGACUUUCACCCAGCAGACUUCCACAGCGUUUUUGGCUUGGCUGUGAUUUCCCAGGUACUCCAGGACACUCCACUGGAUGGUGCAGGGAGAUCUGGCUUUGCAGUAAAGACCUGUCUUCCAGUGAGGGAAGUGUUUGAUCAGACUGUCAAAAGCAUUUGGAACAGAAAAGACAGCACAAGACAAGCAUCAACAUAUUUCUCUUCUUGUAGUCAUUUGGGAACACACCCACUUCAGCACAGAGAAUGCCCUUUGAUGGCAGGGGGAGGAAAGCAAGAGAGGGAUUGGGAAUUUGUAGAGGAGACCAUUCCUGGGGUGGGAGUUCCCCCCUGCAGCGCAGGGUGUGGGGAGACUUGCAUGAGGAGUAUGCCUUACUCCCUGCUGCAGGAGGUUCUGGGACCAACUGUGUGUGGUUACACAGUGUGUAGGCUACAGAGAAUUUGGGCCUUUUUUUUAGAAAAAUUUCCUGCGCUUUCAGGAUGGACCUUACAAGGUUAGAACGGUGGUGCUGUUUGUGAGAUCCCUUGUCUUGGGUGAGUAAGCCCCAAGAAUGAACCAAACUGUAGGCCUUUGGUUCCUUUUCAUGGACUUCAGGAAAAGUCGGUCAGGAACACUGAGGGAAUCAGCUGUCCUGUUGUGCAUGAUGGGAUUAGCACAUAUUGAAGAUAAAAAAGUAGCUAAAGAGAAAAUGAAUGGUACUACCAGCAGAACUGAAAAGCAGGAAAACAUCACUGGAGUUUCCCUGUGAUCAGUUGGGUGAUUACUGAUAUCCUUUAUGUUUUAAUGACUUGGGUAUAAAAGUAAAAUUACCCUGAUUAUGUUUUUUAUUUGUUUUCUGCUAUGCAGAAGCUACUGACAAAAGGGCAAGGCUGGAAGAAUUCGGUACCAUGUGUUAGUGCUCUAAGAUCUUGCAACUAGAUGAGAUUUUUUUGUCUCAGAGGGAAAGUGCCUGUGGUCCAUUUGGUGCACUGCUCUGCUGGUGUGAUUUUGGGGACCUUUGCCUUUCUGCCAGCACUGCCUUCAGCACUGAGGGCUCUCCAGAGGGCACCACUUCCCCUGGCAUAGCAGAACCUGAGCAGCAGGACCAGCUCUGCCCCCUGAGCCCAGCGUCACUGAUUGGUCAUGGAGUGCAGGCAAGGGGGGAUGUGUCCUCAGGUGGGCUGUGACAUGGAGUGAUCUUGUGCUCUCUGCUGGUCCCUGGGCAGGAAGUAAGUGAUGACCAGGAUAUGCCACAAUACAGUCAGUAGCACACUGCCAAUGAGGCCUGGAAAACUACUUCUAGAGGUGAAGAGAGAGUCAGGAAGGGCAGGACUUUUCAGGGGAGAACCUCAUCACCUGGAGCUCCUCUGCUGUCCUGCUGCAUUUCCUGGUUGUUGUGAUGUUAAUUGUGCAACUUCCACCCCAAAUGAAUACAGGUUUUGUACUUUUAGCACCAGAGGUCUUAAAGAAAAUGGGAGGGACUUGAAUGAAAGAGACGCUGAGGUUACAAGACAGCAUCAAAACUGAAGGUAGGCACAUUUUAGCCUAAAAGC